Molecule: small nuclear RNA, 63 nt
Filed under: Canis lupus familiaris (dog)
Lineage: Eukaryota; Metazoa; Chordata; Mammalia; Carnivora; Canidae
Also listed under: 1 other name
Description: U4 spliceosomal RNA
Rfam family: U4 spliceosomal RNA
About the family: U4 small nuclear RNA (U4 snRNA) is a component of the major U2-dependent spliceosome. The structure of U4 snRNA from yeast and human has been reported.
Source: Rfam by way of RNAcentral
AGCUUUGAGCAGUGGCAGUAUCACAGCCAAUGAGGUUUAUCCGAGGCACGAUUAUUGCUGGUA